AUACGGAGGGUGCGAGCGUUGUUCGGAAUUAUUGGGCGUAAAGAGCAUGUAGGCGGUCUGUUAAGUCUGGUGUGAAAGCCCGGGGCUCAACCCCGGAAGUGCAUUGGAUACUGGCAGACUUGAGUAUGGGAGAGGAAAGCGGAAUUCCGAGUGUAGGAGUGAAAUCCGUAGAUAUUCGGAGGAACACCAGUGACGAAGGCGGCUUUCUGGACCAAUACUGACGCUGAGAUGCGAAAGCGUGGGGAGCAAACAGGAUUAGAUACCCCAGUAGUCC
Molecule: ribosomal RNA, 274 nt
Filed under: uncultured bacterium
Lineage: Bacteria
Description: partial 16S ribosomal RNA
Rfam family: Bacterial small subunit ribosomal RNA
Source: RNAcentral